RNAcentral lists this long non-coding RNA (985 nucleotides) under Monodelphis domestica (gray short-tailed opossum). Its description in RNAcentral is "lncRNA (ENSMODG00000044263.1)". Lineage: Eukaryota; Metazoa; Chordata; Mammalia; Didelphimorphia; Didelphidae. The record is from RNAcentral.
AUGUUGCUGUGUGACUUGGAGCUAAGGGUAUUGUUGGCAAAAAAGCUGUACAAAGUCCUUGUCUAUAACUGCCAACUUUGGUGGUGCUCCUCUGCCUCCCCAGACCUGGAGCUCCCUGAGCUCAAGGAAAGGACUGCUGCUGCUGCUGCUGCUGCUGCUGCUCCUCCUCCUCCUCCUUCACCGUCUCCCCAGAAGACUGUGAAGUCCCUGAGGACAAAGAACAGGUGUGAUCCUUCAGACUCUGAGCUCUCAGAGGACAUUUCUGACCCCAUCUACCCUGCUCCUAGACUGUGUGCUCUCUGACACCUGAGCCUGGGUCUCAUUCUUUUCUGUCUCCCUUAGAUUCUUUUCUUCAGUUUUCCCCACAGCCCAUUGGAGCCAAGGUCUGGGCAUAGUAGUUUGAUUAGGGUAGAUUUGGUCAUUUAAUCUUAAAUUCUGGGGACCCUUAGGUGCCUCAGUGGACUGAGAGCUAGUUCUAGAGAUGGAAGGUCCUCAGUUCGAAUCUAGCUUCAGAUACUUCCUAGCUGGGUGAUCCUGGGUGAUCCUUGACUCCCAUUGCUUAGCAUUUAUUACUCUUCUGCCUGGGAAUCAAUACACAGCAUUGAUCCUGAGACAGAAGAUAAGGGUUUAUUAAAAAAAAUAAGGUCUGCCCCUUCCUCUACUGUAUCCCCACCGGCCCCAGCCCCCACUGCCUGUAAUCUGUUAGAGCUGCAUGUUUGUUGUUCCCUCUACCAGGGAGGUUCUUAACCUAGUUGAGCCUCAGGGGCUCCAUGAACUUGUGUGAGAAAUGUAAAAAUUGCAUCUACAUUUUCACUAACCUUUAAGUGGAAUUGAACAUUUCCUUUGAUUGUUUAAAAAUAUUGUUCUGAGAAGGGGUCUAUAGACUUCACCAGACUACUGCCAAAGAAGUAAAUGACACCCCAAACCCUCUGUAGACAGGAAUAGGACAGGAGGGAGAUUCAGGCUGGGGUUGACACCAAAAGAG